AUUGAACGCUGGCGGCAUGCCUUACCCUUGCAAGUCGAACGGCAGCACGGGAGCAAUCCUGGUGGCGAGUGGCGAACGGGUGAGUAAUAUAUCGAAACGUGCCCAGUCGUGGGGGAUAACGUAGCGAAAGCUACGCUAAUACCGCAUACAAUCUAUGGAUGAAAGCGGGGGAUCGCAAGACCUCGCGCGAUUGGAGCGGCCGAUAUCAAAUUAGGUAGUUGGUGGGGUAAAAGCCUACCAAGCCUUCGAUCUGUAGCUGGUCUGAGAGGACGACCAGCCACACUGGAACUGAAACACGGUCCAAACUCCUACGGGAGGCAGCAGUGGGGAAUUUUGGACAAUGGGCGCAAGCCUGAUCCAGCAAUGCCGCGUGCAGGAUGAAGGCCUUCGGGUUGUAAACUGCUUUUGUACGGAACGAAACGGCUUUUUCUAAUAAAGAGAGCUAAUGACGGUACCGUAAGAAUAAGCACCGGCUAACUACGUG
Molecule: ribosomal RNA, 484 nt
Filed under: uncultured bacterium
Lineage: Bacteria
Description: bacterial SSU rRNA
Rfam family: Bacterial small subunit ribosomal RNA
Source: RNAcentral